This 253-nucleotide ribosomal RNA is filed under the name uncultured bacterium. RNAcentral describes it as "partial 16S ribosomal RNA". It matches the Rfam family "Bacterial small subunit ribosomal RNA", at positions 524 to 776 of the family's 1533-position model. The record is from RNAcentral.
UACGUAGGGAGCAAGCGUUGUCCGGAAUCAUUGGGCGUAAAGCGCGUGUAGGCGGCUUGGUAAGUCUGCUCUGAAAGCCCGGGGCUCAACCCCGGGAGGCGGGUGGAUACUGCUGAGCUCGAGUCCGGAAGAGGCGAGUGGAAUUCCUGGUGUAGCGGUGAAAUGCGCAGAUAUCAGGAGGAACACCGAUGGCGAAGGCAGCUCGCUGGGACGGUACUGACGCUGAGACGCGAAAGCGUGGGGAGCGAACAGG